UACUUAUAUCAUGGCGAGGCUUCUAAUGCUUUUUCUGUUCUUGAUACCAAACGUUACGGGGAUCACCUUGCAUUUGCUGAUGGCGGCUUAAUAGAAGGGGUGGGGUGGGGAGAUAGGGUUUCCAAUCAUCUGAUGUGAUAGAGUCAUCCCAGUGGGACAGCAUCCAGUGAAGUCCUGGGGCGCCUCCCGUGAUUAAGGCAAGCAUUAGUGUUGUGGCUGACUCUGGCUGUCAAAGAACUGACCCCUGCAGGGAUUCCUGGCAGUGGAGCAUUAGUUGGGGCAGGGCUGGGAAAUCCAGAUGGUGAAUGACUUGGCAAAGGUCAUGCAAGUCACCAUUCGAGAGACCUUUGGAACAUCCUUUUGGGGGUAGGAGAUUGAAAUUAUUACCAGGAAACUGUACUAUUAACAAUGGAAAGCAAGUUCCUAUUCAGAGUUUUUUGGGAGAAAAAAAUGGACGUUGCCAUAAAUUUUAAUGAUGAUGAAACUAAAAUAGACGUGGGACCUGUCCUGUGCAGAAGCCAGUGGGGAGCAAAGCAAAGACCUUCAAAUGUGGGUCAGUCUAUAAACCCCCAAAGUAAUUACCAUUGGCAGUAGUGUAUACCACCAUUUUUGUGUCUUCACUGAACCUUUAUUGAGGACUUCCUCUUAAUUAAGUAAUGUGAUUUUUAUAUGUACUUCUAAUCCAUUUAAUGUUAUUGGCCACAAUACUGAC
Molecule: long non-coding RNA, 712 nt
Filed under: Vulpes vulpes (red fox)
Lineage: Eukaryota; Metazoa; Chordata; Mammalia; Carnivora; Canidae
Description: lncRNA (ENSVVUG00000030061.1)
Source: RNAcentral